AGGGUUGCCACCUGUGUCUGACAAAAAUCCUGGACAUUUUGAACAUCGGAUCGACCUUUUUGUUUGUAAGCAACGGUGCCCUUCGUACAUCUAUCUCAAGACAAAAAUCGCCCUUCUACGCUGAAAUUGUAUUGCUCUAAUUAGUAAAAAUGACACUUUUGCUAGUUAUUUGUUUAGUUAAUUGCUUUACAUAAUAGCAGGUCUUUAUUAUUUUGGUUUAUUUCCAACAGUUUUUAGUUGUGGAUACCUGGGGGCAGUACUGGGAAAAAAGGGGAAAUU
Thalassophryne amazonica is the source of this 279-nucleotide long non-coding RNA. RefSeq lists it as uncharacterized. The transcript has 3 exons. Lineage: Eukaryota; Metazoa; Chordata; Actinopteri; Batrachoidiformes; Batrachoididae. The record is from RefSeq and is a predicted model, not a curated record.